Molecule: ribosomal RNA, 253 nt
Filed under: uncultured bacterium
Lineage: Bacteria
Description: partial 16S ribosomal RNA
Rfam family: Bacterial small subunit ribosomal RNA
Source: RNAcentral
UACGUAGGGUGCAAGCGUUAAUCGGAAUUACUGGGCGUAAAGCGUGCGCAGGCGGUUAUACAAGACAGAUGUGAAAUCCCCGGGCUCAACCUGGGAACUGCAUUUGUGACUGUAUAGCUGGAGUACGGUAGAGGGGAGUGGAAUUCCGCGUGUAGCAGUGAAAUGCGUAGAUAUGCGGAGGAACACCGAUGGCGAAGGCAGCUCCCUGGACCUGUACUGACGCUCAUGCACGAAAGCGUGGGGAGCAAACAGG